UCUAAAAUGAGUCUCUCGGGGGAGAGAGAGGAGGGGGGCCCCUGCCUCUAAAAUGAGUCUCUUUGGGGAAAAUGACACCAAAACUAAGAGCCCAAUCAAGCAGGAGAGACCAGCCUCCCCUGUACCCAGCUGUGUGUCCAUGAAGAGUGACCGGUCUAUGGUUCCACCUCUACAGUUUAGAGAGGGAGUCUUUUCUAGUGAACAAAGAAUCUCCAACCAAACUCUGAGAUCAGUCUCUCCAGUAC
This is a long non-coding RNA of Coregonus clupeaformis (lake whitefish), 245 nucleotides long. RefSeq lists it as uncharacterized. The transcript has 3 exons. Lineage: Eukaryota; Metazoa; Chordata; Actinopteri; Salmoniformes; Salmonidae. The record is from RefSeq and is a predicted model, not a curated record.